UACGUAGGCAGCAAGCGUUGUUCGGAAUUACUGGGCGUAAAGAGUGUGUAGGCGGUGCUGUAAGUCUGGUGUGAAAUCUCCCGGCUCAACUGGGAGGGUGCGCCGGAAACUGCAGUGCUUGAGGGUGGGAGAGGUAAGCGGAAUUCCUGGUGUAGCGGUGAAAUGCGUAGAUAUCAGGAGGAACACCUGUGGUGUAGACAGCUUACUGGACCACUUCUGACGCUGAGACACGAAAGCGUGGGUAGCAAACAGG
Molecule: ribosomal RNA, 253 nt
Filed under: uncultured bacterium
Lineage: Bacteria
Description: partial 16S ribosomal RNA
Rfam family: Bacterial small subunit ribosomal RNA
Source: RNAcentral